This 465-nucleotide ribosomal RNA is filed under the name uncultured Arsenophonus sp. RNAcentral's name for it is "bacterial SSU rRNA". It matches the Rfam family "Bacterial small subunit ribosomal RNA", at positions 338 to 795 of the family's 1533-position model. The record is from RNAcentral. Lineage: Bacteria; Pseudomonadati; Pseudomonadota; Gammaproteobacteria; Enterobacterales; Morganellaceae.
CCUACGGGUGGCAGCAGUGGGGAAUAUUGCACAAUGGGCGCAAGCCUGAUGCAGCCAUGCCGCGUGUAUGCAGAAGGCCUUCGGGUUGUAAAGUACUUUCAGUCGUGUGGAAGGUGUUAAGGUUAAUAACCUUAGCAAUUGACGUUAGCGACAGAAGAAGCACCGGCUAACUCCGUGCCAGCAGCCGCGGUAAUACGGAGGGUGCGAGCGUUAAUCGGAAUUACUGGGCGUAAAGGGCACGCAGGCGGUUAAUGAAGGGGGAUGUGAAAAGGGGGGGCGAAAGGUGGGAAUGGGAGUGAGGAGUGGAUAGGUAGAGUCAUGUAGAGGGGGGUAGAAUUCCAUGUGUAGCGGUGAAAUGCGUAGAGAGGGGGAGGAAGAACGGUGGCGAAGGCGGCCCCCUGGACAAAGACUGACGCUCAGGUGCGAAAGCGUGGGGAGCAAACAGGAUUAGAUACCCCGGUAGUC